GCAGUCGAACGGCAGCACGGGCUUCGGCCUGGUGGCGAGUGGCGAACGGGUGAGUAAUACAUCGGAACGUACCCAGAAGUGGGGGAUAACGCAGCGAAAGUUGCGCUAAUACCGCAUACGUUCUACGGAAGAAAGUGGGGGAUCUUCGGACCUCAUGCUUUUGGAGCGGCCGAUGUCUGAUUAGCUAGUAGGUAGGGUAAAGGCCUACCUAGGCGACGAUCAGUAGCUGGUCUGAGAGGACGACCAGCCACACUGGAACUGAGACACGGUCCAGACUCCUACGGGAGGCAGCAGUGGGGAAUUUUGGACAAUGGGCGCAAGCCUGAUCCAGCAAUGCCGCGUGAGUGAAGAAGGCCUUCGGGUUGUAAAGCUCUUUUGUCAGGGAAGAAACGGUUCCGGCUAAUAUCUGGAGCUAAUGACGGUACCUGAAGAAUAAGCACCGGCUAACUACGUGCCAGCAGCCGCGGUAAUACGUAGGGUGCAAGCGUUAAUCGGAAUUACUGGGCGUAAAGCGUGCGCAGGCGGUUUUGUAAGUCUGUCGUGAAAGCCCCGGGCUCAACCUGGGAAUUGCGAUGGAGACUGCAAGGCUUGAAUCUGGCAGAGGGGGGUAGAAUUCCACGUGUAGCAGUGAAAUGCGUAGAGAUGUGGAGGAACACCGAUGGCGAAGGCAGCCCCCUGGGUCAAGAUUGACGCUCAUGCACGAAAGCGUGGGGAGCAAACAGGAUUAGAUACCCUGGUAGUCCACGCCCUAAACGAUGUCUACUAGUUGUCGGGUUUUAAUUAACUUGGUAACGCAGCUAACGCGUGAAGUAGACCGCCUGGGGAGUACGGUCGCAAGAUUAA
Molecule: ribosomal RNA, 843 nt
Filed under: uncultured bacterium
Lineage: Bacteria
Description: bacterial SSU rRNA
Rfam family: Bacterial small subunit ribosomal RNA
Source: RNAcentral